UACGUAGGGUGCGAGCGUUAAUCGGAAUUACUGGGCGUAAAGCGUGCGCAGGCGGUGCUGUAAGACAGUUGUGAAAUCCCCGGGCUCAACCUGGGAACUGCAUCUGUGACUGCAUUGCUGGAGUGCGGCAGAGGGGGAUGGAAUUCCGCGUGUAGCAGUGAAAUGCGUAGAUAUGCGGAGGAACACCGAUGGCGAAGGCAAUCCCCUGGGCCUGCACUGACGCUCAUGCACGAAAGCGUGGGGAGCAAACAGG
RNAcentral lists this ribosomal RNA (253 nucleotides) under uncultured bacterium. RNAcentral's name for it is "partial 16S ribosomal RNA". It matches the Rfam family "Bacterial small subunit ribosomal RNA", at positions 524 to 776 of the family's 1533-position model. The record is from RNAcentral.